Molecule: non-coding RNA, 103 nt
Filed under: Bifidobacterium adolescentis
Lineage: Bacteria; Bacillati; Actinomycetota; Actinomycetes; Bifidobacteriales; Bifidobacteriaceae
Also listed under: 1 other name
Description: TPP sequence
Rfam family: TPP riboswitch aptamer (THI element)
About the family: Vitamin B(1) in its active form thiamin pyrophosphate (TPP) is an essential coenzyme that is synthesised by coupling of pyrimidine and thiazole moieties in bacteria. The previously detected thiamin-regulatory element, thi box was extended, resulting in a new, highly conserved RNA secondary structure, the THI element, which is widely distributed in eubacteria and also occurs in some archaea. Analysis of operon structures identified a large number of new candidate thiamin-regulated genes, mostly transporters, in various prokaryotic organisms.
Source: RNAcentral
AGGCGCAGACACGGGGGCCGAAUGGCUGAGAGGAAGCAACCGCUUCAACCGUAUGAACGUAUACCGGGUAAUGCCGGCGCACGGACGUCUCUCUAUUUCCCGU